This 765-nucleotide long non-coding RNA is filed under the name Homo sapiens (human). RNAcentral describes it as "HSALNT0306752". The record is from RNAcentral. Lineage: Eukaryota; Metazoa; Chordata; Mammalia; Primates; Hominidae.
GCAGGGUCAAUAUCUCCCACAGGGCAGCCUCACGGCCUUUACUGCCUCUCUCCAGCCAGCUCCAGCACUACAGGACAGAGAUUGGAAUUAAAUGUCACGUGGAAAAAAGCCAACAUGGCAUUCUGUUAAGAAGAUAGACAACCUAAGUGACGUCUAUCCUGCUUCAAAGACAAAACUCAGGAGGCUGUACAUUCAUUUAGAGCAGAGUAGACGAAACCUCCUAUUCUCUGGCUUGGGAACCAGGAGGAAUCACUGACUGAGAUUUGCCAACCAGACCUCUAUGAAGUGAGCUCUAUCACAUGGUACGUUUAUGAGAAGAGGAACCAGCAAUGUUUCCUUCCAUCUUCAACUAUACUAACAAGAUCCAUCUGAUGUGUAAGCUAGUCUGGGAAUUAGGGGCACAGAAAAUUGCAUAUUAAAGUCAUACAACGUUGUUUUUUAAGAAAAGCUCUUUCUGUGAUUUGUUGCUCCAAAUCUUUCUUCUCUUGUAUUAAAAACUAUAAUGUUGAGAAAUGAUUCUCUUUGCACCUGGUAACAAUAUUUUAGUAAGCCUCUUUUCAGUUUUGAAUAGUUUGUCAUUUUUCCAUGAGUACCUUCAGGUCAUACAUAUACUUGGCUUUUAAAUUUUUUUUUGGAAUGCUAUUGUAAUGGGCCUGCUGUUCAGUCCCACCACACACUUAGCUACUUCUUUUGGGUGCUUGGGUGCAGAUUUUCCUUUGAAGCCAGUCGGAGCUACAUGCACAGAUGAAACGUGUGGCAGGAAGG